UCCCUUAGUAGCGGCGAGCGAACAGGGAAGAGCCCAGCGCCGAAUUCCGCGUCUCAAAGGGCGUUUGGAACAUGUGGCGUUUAGGAGGAAUCUCUCCGAGGGCAGACGGUGUCGCAAGUCCCCCUGAACGGGGCUGUGAUCCAGAGCGGGUGCGAGGCCCAUAGCUGGUACCGUCUCCUUUGGGUGUCCCCUCCUUGGAGUCGGGUUGCUUGGGAGUGCAGCCCUAAUUGGGUGGUAAACUCCACCUAAGGCUAAAUACGUCCGUGAGACCGAUAGCAAACAAGUACCGUGAGGGAAAGUUGCAAAGAACUUUGAAGAGAGAGUUCAAGAGUACGUGAAACCGCUCAGAGGCAAACGGGUGGGCCCACGAAAGCCGAAGGCGGGGGGAUUCAGUCGAGAGGACGGUGGGGCAGGACWGGCUGGUUGGACGGACCGUGCCAGGCCGGGUCAGUUCCCGAGAUCUGCCGCCUUUCGACGCAUUUCCCCCUGCUUAGUAGGACGCCGCAACCGGUUGGUGCUGCAGCCAUAAGGGAGAGUAAAUGGAAGGUAGCCAGUGAGUUCUUCUUCGGAGGCGCAAGCUGGUCCUAAGCCGACUCUCCUGGUGCUUGUGGCCCGACCGUGGUCGUGAGUCCCUCAACGGGAUGUCGCCGAGCCCUCUGACUGGAGCGGGAGAAGUGGCAGGCUGCUUUCCGCGGAAAAAAUCGAUCGCUUCACGCGUGCAGUGGGCGAUCUCCGGAGGUAGCUGCUGGUGCGUUUUUCUCCUGCGCUGGGCACAGGCAGUUGGCGGCGAGUAGGUCGGUCACCCACCCGACCCGUCUUGAAACACGGACCAAGGAGUCUAACAUGUGCGCGAGUCAUUGGGUCUUGAACAAGCCCAAAGGCGCAAUGAAAGUGAAGACCAGCACUGAAGCUGGUGGAGUUGGGAAACUGUGUCAYUGAAGAUGCAGUUGCACCAACGGCCCGUCCCGUCCGCAUCGUCGGUGGGGCGGAGCGAGAGCGUACACGUUGGGACCCGAAAGAUGGUGAACUAUGCCUGGGCAGGACGAAGCCAGAGGAAACUCUGGUGGAGGUCCG
Molecule: ribosomal RNA, 1074 nt
Filed under: Draculoides affinis
Lineage: Eukaryota; Metazoa; Arthropoda; Arachnida; Schizomida; Hubbardiidae
Description: eukaryotic LSU rRNA
Rfam family: Eukaryotic large subunit ribosomal RNA
Source: RNAcentral